RNAcentral lists this long non-coding RNA (263 nucleotides) under Pocillopora damicornis (cauliflower coral). Its description in RNAcentral is "uncharacterized LOC113668816, transcript variant X1". The record is from RNAcentral. Lineage: Eukaryota; Metazoa; Cnidaria; Anthozoa; Scleractinia; Pocilloporidae.
GGACGUUUUGAUUGCAAGCCUUGUUCGUGCGAGCCUGAUCAUCACGAUCCACAGCUGCAGUGAAAAGAUCGAAAGACAAACGAUAACAUUUAUCAGCCUUAGUUGUUCCUCAAGGGACUGAAAUUAGCGACGCUGACAGUUCAAGUAUUCCCAAGGUUUGUCAAACUUCUAGAACGAGAACAGUCUUUUUCCCGCGAGUAAAUACCUGUUUCCUCGGAGGGUUUCUCUCUAAAACACCUCGAAGACAACAUCGAAGGUAAUUG